Molecule: transfer RNA, 69 nt
Filed under: Cosmoscarta heros
Lineage: Eukaryota; Metazoa; Arthropoda; Insecta; Hemiptera; Cercopidae
Description: tRNA-Pro
Source: RNAcentral
CAGUAAAUAGUUUAUAUAAAAUAUAAGUUUUGGGGAUUUAAGAUGAGGGUUUAUAAUUCUUUUUACUGA